CCUACGGGAGGCAGCAGUGGGGAAUAUUGGACAAUGGGCGAAAGCCUGAUCCAGCCAUGCCGCGUGUGUGAAGAAGGCCUUCGGGUUGUAAAGCACUUUCAGUGGGGAAGAAAGCCUUGGGGCUAAUACCCUCGAGGAAGGACAUCACCCACAGAAGAAGCACCGGCUAACUCCGUGCCAGCAGCCGCGGUAAUACGGAGGGUGCGAGCGUUAAUCGGAAUUACUGGGCGUAAAGCGCGCGUAGGCGGUCUGAUAAGCCGGUUGUGAAAGCCCCGGGCUCAACCUGGGAACGGCAUCCGGAACUGUCCGGCUAGAGUGCAGGAGAGGAAGGUAGAAUUCCCGGUGUAGCGGUGAAAUGCGUAGAGAUCGGGAGGAAUACCAGUGGCGAAGGCGGCCUUCUGGACUGACACUGACGCUGAGGUGCGAAAGCGUGGGUAGCAAACAGGAUUAGAUACCCUUGUAGUC
RNAcentral lists this ribosomal RNA (465 nucleotides) under Vreelandella stevensii. RNAcentral describes it as "partial 16S ribosomal RNA". It matches the Rfam family "Bacterial small subunit ribosomal RNA", at positions 338 to 795 of the family's 1533-position model. The record is from RNAcentral. Lineage: Bacteria; Pseudomonadati; Pseudomonadota; Gammaproteobacteria; Oceanospirillales; Halomonadaceae.